AUCUCUCUUUUUCUCAUUUGAUUUUGGUACAAAGUUCCCUCAACCUUCAUAAUACCUGUUCUGACAACUGAAACAACCAAUCAGACAGGUACUGUACACCUGAACUCAGCAUCUGCUGUCACUCAUGUUUCAGAACUGCUUUUUAAUUUUUUGUAGAUGGUCACAUUUAAAGUAUAGGAGGCCAUAAUACUGUAGGUUUAGAGGUUAUACAUUAUCAUCAUGGCCUUUCAGUUGUGACAAUCUUUAAUCAUGACAACUUUUUGUAAACAAAGAUGAAUUACAAUUUGAAUUCCUUUUUCAUAUUUUUUGUUCCUUGUGUACUUUACAGAGCCACCCAUCAUGACCAACACUGCUGCUAAAGUGUUCACUGGAGUAGGAGCUUCGGUUCUAGUAGUAGCGGUUCUAGUAGUAGCAGUUCUAGCGGUCACAUUUUUCAGAAGGAGGUGUUGUGGCCCAUUGCCACACCAGCAGCAUGCAAGGCCCAUUGAGAUGGAGAAUUUCCUGCCAAAUCCAGAUCAAGUGUAAUAAAACAAUAACGAUGUUUACUUAGGACCAGACCAUAACUGAAGAAUAACACUGGCGUGUUAUCAAUCAAGUGCAAUUGUUAGGUUUUCAGCUCUCUAAGC
This 626-nucleotide long non-coding RNA is filed under the name Sinocyclocheilus anshuiensis. RNAcentral's name for it is "lncRNA (ENSSANG00000026380.1)". The record is from RNAcentral. Lineage: Eukaryota; Metazoa; Chordata; Actinopteri; Cypriniformes; Cyprinidae.